Molecule: ribosomal RNA, 497 nt
Filed under: uncultured bacterium
Lineage: Bacteria
Description: partial 16S ribosomal RNA
Rfam family: Bacterial small subunit ribosomal RNA
Source: RNAcentral
GAUGAACGCUGGCGGCGUGCCUAAUACAUGCAAGUCGAGCGAACGGACGAGAAGCUUGCUUCUCUGAUGUUAGCGGCGGACGGGCGAGUAACACGUGGAUAACCUACCUAUAUGACUGGGAUAACUUCGGGAAUCCGGAGCUCAUACCGGAUAAUAUUUUGAACUUCAUGAUUCAAAAGUGAAAGACUGUAUUGCUGUCACUUAUAGAUGGCUCCUCGUUGCGUUAGCUAGUUGGUAAGGUAACGGCUUACCAAGGCAAUGAUGCAUAGCCGACCUGAGAGGGGGAUGGGCAACACUGGAACUGAGACCCGGCCCAGACUCCUACGGGAGGCAGCAGUAGGGAAUCUUCCGCAAGGGGCGAAGGCCUGACGGAGCAACGCCGCGGGGGUGAGGAAGGUCUUCGGAUCGUAAGACUCUGUUAUUAGGGAAGAACAUAGGUGUAAGUGACUGUGCACAUCUUGACGGUACCUUAUCAGAAAGCCACGGCUAACUACGUG